AGCUUUUUGCAGUGGCAGUAUUGUAAUCAGUGAGGUCUAUCUGAGGCACGAUUAUCACUAAUUGAAGA
This 68-nucleotide small nuclear RNA is filed under the name Cervus elaphus hippelaphus. Lineage: Eukaryota; Metazoa; Chordata; Mammalia; Artiodactyla; Cervidae. The record is from RNAcentral.